Molecule: ribosomal RNA, 500 nt
Filed under: uncultured bacterium
Lineage: Bacteria
Description: partial 16S ribosomal RNA
Rfam family: Bacterial small subunit ribosomal RNA
Source: RNAcentral
AUUGAACGCUGGCGGCAUGCCUUACACAUGCAAGUCGAACGGCAGCACGGGAGCAAUCCUGGUGGCGAGUGGCGAACGGGUGAGUAAUAUAUCGGAACGUGCCCAGUCGUGGGGGAUAACGCAGCGAAAGCUGUGCUAAUACCGCAUACGAUCUAAGGAUGAAAGCGGGGGAUCGCAAGACCUCGCGCGAUUGGAGCGGCGGAUAUCAGAUUAGCUAGUUGGUGGGGUAAAGGCCCACCAAGGCGACGAUCUGUAGCUGGUCUGAGAGGACGACCAGACACACUGGAACUGAGACACGGUCCAGACUCCUACGGGAGGCAGCAGUGGGGAAUUUUGGACAAUGGGCGCAAGCCUGAUCCAGCAAUGCCGCGUGCAGGAUGAAGGCCUUCGGGUUGUAAACUGCUUUUGUACGGAACGAAACGGCCCUUUCUAAUACAAGGGGCCAAUGACGGUACCGUAAGAAUAAGCACCGGCUAACUACGUGCCAGCAGCCGCAGUAA